This is a long non-coding RNA of Pungitius pungitius (ninespine stickleback), 297 nucleotides long. RefSeq lists it as uncharacterized. NCBI's taxonomy places the organism in Eukaryota, Metazoa, Chordata, Actinopteri, Perciformes, Gasterosteidae. The transcript has 3 exons. The record is from RefSeq and is a predicted model, not a curated record.
CACGAAGCUAAAUGAAAUGCUACUUUAUUGACUUGCUGUGUGUGAUUACAGGUGUGCAGUGCAGUACAGAACCAGGACUUCACAGUGAUCGAGGAUUACUGUGUGGGUCUGAAGGCCUUGUUGUACCUAAAGAGCCUGGAGCUGAAGGACUGGGACGGCCAGUCUCCUCCGACAGAGAGACACCAGAAGGGGAAACCAGUUCCCAGACUGGUGGACCUGGUGGGAAAGAGCCUCCCGAGCUUUGGGCCGUACCUCCAGCAGAGGACAGACGCCAUCGCAGAGUACAAGAGCCUUUGU